CAGCCGCCGCGGUAAAACGGAGGGAGCCAGCGUUAUUCGGAAUUACUGGGCGUAAAGCGCACGUAGGCGGCUUUGUAAGUUAGAGGUGAAAGCCUGGAGCUCGACUCCAGAAUUGCCUUUAAGACUGCAUCGCUUGAAUCCAGGAGAGGUGAGUGGAAUUCCGAGUGUAGAGGUGAAAUUCGUAGAUAUUCGGAAGAACACCAGUGGCGAAGGCGACUCACUGGCCCAUUACUGACGCUGAGGCUCGAAAGCGUGGGGAGCAAGCAGGAUUAGAUACCCGCGUAGUCCCUGUCUCUUAUAU
This 301-nucleotide ribosomal RNA is filed under the name uncultured bacterium. Its description in RNAcentral is "partial 16S ribosomal RNA". It matches the Rfam family "Bacterial small subunit ribosomal RNA", at positions 509 to 809 of the family's 1533-position model. The record is from RNAcentral.